This 490-nucleotide ribosomal RNA is filed under the name uncultured bacterium. RNAcentral's name for it is "partial 16S ribosomal RNA". It matches the Rfam family "Bacterial small subunit ribosomal RNA", at positions 28 to 507 of the family's 1533-position model. The record is from RNAcentral.
GAUGAACGCUAGCUACAGGCUUAACACAUGCAAGUCGCGGGGCAGCAUGGGGGUUGCUUGCCAUCCCCGAUGGCGACCGGCGCACGGGUGAGUAACGCGUAUCCAACCUGCCCUUCACCACGGGAUAACCCGGCGAAAGUCGGACUAAUACCGUAUGUUUUCCAUUGACGGCAUCCGAUUUGGACGAAAGGCUUGGCGGUGAGGGAUGGGGAUGCGUCCGAUUAGCCAGACGGCGGGGUAACGGCCCACCGUGGCUACGAUCGGUAGGGGUUCUGAGAGGAAGGUCCCCCACACUGGAACUGAGACACGGUCCAGACUCCUACGGGAGGCAGCAGUGAGGAAUAUUGGUCAAUGGGCGUAAGCCUGAACCAGCCAAGUAGCGUGCAGGAGGACGGCCCUAUGGGUUGUAAACUGCUUUUAUGCGGGGAUAAAGUGGCCCACGUGUGGGCUUUUGCAGGUACCGCAUGAAUAAGGACCGGCUAAUUCCGUG